RNA transcript from Oncorhynchus kisutch (coho salmon), 6223 nucleotides. It is a transcript of the gene named membrane-associated guanylate kinase, WW and PDZ domain-containing protein 3, with no coding region annotated. The transcript has 21 exons. The record is from RefSeq and is a predicted model, not a curated record. NCBI's taxonomy places the organism in Eukaryota, Metazoa, Chordata, Actinopteri, Salmoniformes, Salmonidae.
GUGCCAGGUGUGUUUAACCUGUGGCCAGGGAUGCAGUCGCGCUUGUCAUCAUCAAAAUGUGUGGGAUGCGAACUACGACCUAGAACGAGAAUAAAUUACCAUUAAGUGAAUGCUGUGAUAACGACACCAGCAGUUUUCUGUCACAGGUAUAAAGGCACUCUCGUUGACGCACUAAAUAUACGGCUUCCGAUGUCCCAAAUCUCCGAGAAGAUUUGUCUCUCACGCAGUCUAUGGUGAGGUGAGUGGAUACCUUGUUUUGACAACUUCCAUCCAAAGGUUUAGGAGAAUAAGAAGAACCAACCUAUGAUAAGGUGAUGGGGAGGCUGAAACACAUUGAUGCAUUUAUGCAGACACUGUAUUGCUGUCUUAUUUACUGUUUUACGCACAAAGACCAUUGGGAGUUUUACAAUAUUACGGACGUAUUUUCAGUGGAAUAGCCAGCUCAUGUAGCCCGAAUAUUGAAUUUUAUUGGAAGUCAUGCUACUCCAGCAUUACUGCGGUUUCUUGGACAAUAGAACAUGUAUUUACACAUUACCCGGGAAAAAGUGAAUUCUUAAUUAUAACAGAGAAAUUAAACUCCGACCAGAUCCAGUGAAUAACUCAAUAUCAGAAAUCUCUGUUCGCCCAUAUUUUCUCCUGCAUUAGUGCUUGUGAAACAAAGCAAAUCCAAAGAUACCCAUUCAGAUCAGUGACGAACCACAUCAAAAAUAUACAGUAUGUCCAGAACGCUGAAAAAGAAGAAACAUUGGUCCAGCAAGGUGCAGGAGUGUGCUGUGUCAUGGGGAAGCCUCGGAGAAUUCGGCAAUGUGGUGGAGGUGCUGGGGGGUGCUGAACACGGAGAGUUCCCUUACCUGGGCCAGAUGAAGUUGGAUGUGAUGUUGUGCCACGUCGGUACAAUGCCCUAUUUCGGUGACGUUUUGUUGGAGAUCAACGGAACACCCGUCAGUGGACUUACAAACCGCGACACGCAUGCUGUCAUUCGCCACUUUCGGGAGCCCAUUCGUUUGAAGACCGUCAAACCAGGGAAGGUUCUGAACACAGACCUGCGCCACUACCUAAGCCUGCAGUUCCAGAAGGGCUCGUUGGAUCACAAGCUCCAGCAGGUCAUCCGAGACAACCUCUACCUGCGCACCAUCCCCUGCACCACGCGGCUGCCCAGAGAAAGGGAGGUACCGGGUGUGGACUACAACUUCAUCAGCGUGGGAGACUUCCGUAUCCUGGAGGGGAGUGGCCUUCUGCUGGAGAGUGGAACCUACGAUGGUAACUACUAUGGGACCCCAAAGCCCCCAGCGGAGCCCACCCUGGUACAGCCUGACCUGGUGGAUCAGGUGCUGUUUGAUGAGGACUAUGACAACGAGGUCCAGCGAAAACGCACCACGUCAGUCAGCAAGAUGGACAGGAAGGACAGCGUGGUCCCUGAGGAAGAAGACGAUGAUGAGAGGCCACCUCUGGCCAACGGCCUCCCAGAGCACAAAGAAGGGGCAUCGUGGAGGAAGGCGGUGCCCAGCUACACCCAGUCCAGCAGUGCCAUGGACUUCCGUAUGUGGAGCUCUCUGCCCGGCGAUGACAGCCUGGAACCCCUGCCUCUCAACUGGGAGAUGGCCUACACCGAGACGGGCAUGGUCUACUUCAUAGAUCACAACAGCAAGACCACCACCUGGCUGGACCCCCGCCUGGCCAAGAAGGCCAAGCCCCCAGAGAAGUGUGAGGAUGGAGAGCUCCCGUAUGGCUGGGAGGAGAUAGAGGACCCACAGUAUGGAACAUAUUAUGUAGAUCACAUCAACCAGAGAACCCAGUUUGAGAACCCAGUCCUGGAGGCUAAGAGGAAGCUGAGCCAGGAGACUACUGUCUCUAUCCAGCAGGGGGCACCACCACCUCCAGGUGAGAGGGGUGCGUCAUGCUUCACCCCAGACCCGUCCCAGCUGCAGGGGGAGAUGUUCCACACUGCUCUGAGGAAAAGCUCCCAGGGCUUUGGCUUUACCAUCAUAGGGGGCGACCGCCAUGACGAGUUCCUGCAGGUGAAGAACGUCCUCAGCGACAGCCCUGCUGCCCAUGACAACAAGAUUUCCUCCGGCGAUGUGAUCGUGGAGAUCAACGGGAAAUGUGUGCUGGGGAAGACCCACCCUGAGGUGGUGCAGAUGUUCCAGUCCAUCCCAGUAAGUCAGUAUGUUGAUAUGGUGCUGUGCCGCGGCUACCCGCUGCCCCCAGAUGUGGCGGAGGACACCGAGAACCCCCCUCCCCCACCUCCUCCGCCCCUGCAGGGGGGCGAGGUGGUGACUGCCGUGCCCCUCAUCAAUGGCCAGCCCCUGCUGGUGAAGGGCGAUGUGCUGCACGGCUCCUCCCAGGAGCUCCACUACGUCACCACCGACGCCAGUGGACGGCCCAUGGUGGCCGCGCUGCCCAACGGGAGGCUCUCUGAGCAGGGGGGAACAGGCCUGCUGCAGCCCGAGCUGGUGAGCGUGCCCCUGGUGAAGGGCCCGGGAGGGUUUGGCUUUGCCAUCGCAGACUGUCCCCUUGGCCAGAAGGUGAAGAUGAUCCUAGACGCCCAGUGGUGCCGCGGCCUGCUUAAAGGGGACGUGAUCAAGGAGAUCAACCGUCAGAAUGUUCAGACUCUGAGCCACGCCCAGGUGGUGGACAUCCUCAAAGACCUACAGGUGGGGAGCGAGGUCAACGUACUGGUGCUCAGAGGAGGUCAGACAUCUCCUGUGAAGAGCCUGAAACCUAGGCAGGAAAUUACAUCUAGCACAGAGACUCUGGACUGUGUCACAGACUCUGUCCCCCAGGCCCUCCCUUUCCACUCCAACACUUCAACCCUGCGCAACAACUCCCCCAAACGAGACGCCACAGAGAUGUACCUCAAGUCCAAGGCCCUGCUGGAGAGCAAGCAGCCUCACACCAAAGACCUGGAUGUGUUCAUCAAGAGGGACCAGGAGACUGGCUUUGGCUUCCGUGUUCUGGGAGGAGAAGGUCCAGAGCAGCCAGUGUAUAUUGGUGCCAUCGUGCACCUUGGUGCAGCUGAGAAGGAUGGACGCCUGAGGGCUGGUGAUGAGCUCAUAGGCAUCGAUGGAAUCAUGGUCAAGGGCCGUUCCCACAAGCAGGUUCUGGACCUGAUGACUAACGCUGCCCGCAAUGGUCAGGUCAUGCUGACCGUGCGUCGGAAAGUCAUCUACAGAGAUAUGACUGAGGAGGAGGCAGGGCUCCACAUGGCUCCAGUGUUGGUGAACGGCUCCCCCAGACUCCCUCGUAUCCAGAUGCCCAGUGUGCUGGAACACGAGUCCUUCGACAUCACCCUCCACCGCAAGGACAGCGAGGGCUUCGGCUUCGUCAUCCUCACCUCCAAGAGCAAGCCCCCGCUAGGGGUGAUCCCUCAUAAGAUCGGACGCAUCAUCGAAGGCAGCCCCACUGACCGCUGUGGCCUGCUCAAUGUAGGCGACCGCAUCUCAGCGGUCAACGGGCGGUCCAUCGUGGGGCUGUCUCACAAUGACAUCGUUCAGCUCAUCAAGGAUGCUGGCAAUGCUGUCACCCUUACUGUGGUUCCCGAGGACGAAUACAAGGGCCCUCCCUCUGGUGCCAGCUCAGCCAAGCAGAGCCCCGCCCCUCAUCACAGAGCUAUGGGUCAGAGGUCAGCUAUGCAUGAUGAGCGUUAUAACCUAGAUCUGGAGGAGGAGAAGAGGGAGGGAGUCACCUGGGCUGACUACAAAACUCUGCCUCUGAGCGAACAGGGAACAAUGUGUGUUACAGGCCCCAGACAGGCAAGGCUCAUACCAUUAUUACUGUCAUUGUUUUUAUCUGGUGUUUUAGAGAUUUUACAUCAAUCAAAUAAUAUAUGACACAGAAAAAACUGCACUAAGUUAUAACUUAAGUUAUAACGUGUGUGUACGUGCUUGUGUGUGUGUGUGUGAGUGCAUGUGCUUACGUGCAUGUGAGUGUGUGUGUUUGCAUGCUUGCGUGUGUGUGUACAUAUGUGUGUGUGUACGCAUGCGCCACGCAGGGCUGUAUCACGGUGGAGCUGGACCGGGGGUCCCGGGGUUUUGGCUUCAGUCUGAGGGGAGGGACAGAGUACAACAUGGGCCUGUACAUCCUGAGACUGGCUGAGGAGGGGCCUGCCCUGCUGGACAGCAGGAUCCAUGUGGGGGAUCAGGUAGUGGAGAUCAAUGGAGAGCCGACCCAGGGGAUCACCCAUACCCGCGCCAUUGAGCUGAUCCAGGCUGGAGGCAGCAAAGUGCUGCUCCUGUUAAGGCCAGGGCAGUGUCUGGUACAAGACAACAGUGAUUGCGUCCCCUCUACUGUGUGCUAUUACUCAAACGAGCACCACCACUAACCACUUCACUGUUUUUACUGGCCUGUCCUCUUUUACCUUGGUAAAUUGGAUCCAACUGUCACUUCAUCCACAAGCUUUCCUAGAGAGGCGCUUGUCUCAGAGACAUCCCCUCUCGCUUCUCCAUUCUCCACCUGCACCUUCACCUCAGGUUCCUCCUCUUUCACCAGUGAGACCCCUGACUGGAACUCCCUGUCCCACCGAACGCUCCACCCCCAGUGCAGCAGGGGCACUGGCUCAGUGGAGUGGAAUGGAGAGUGGGCAGACAGGCAGGCUGACAGGCUCUCUCCCAUUACCCCUGAGCAGAUCAACCUCUAUAAGGUCAAACCAGGUCAUACCAGGUCUAAAGACUCCAAGGAGCCCAGCAGCCCAAAGAAAACAGGUGAAACAUUCUCUAAAGCCAAAGAGCACUCACAGAGUCCCACAAAGUCUGAGAGGAAGGGACAGGAAGUCCCACUGCCAGAAAGGAAGUUGGUCACCCAGCCCCAAGAAGUCUUCUCGAAAAGACAGGAAGCCUCGAGCCAGCUGCAAGUAAAGAAACAGCAGGUACAGCAGAGCACAUCAAAGGAGCAUUCCAGCAAGGAGCCCUUUGAUGAAAACAAAAACAGCAAAAGGGGAGAUUCAAAGGGCAGGAAAAGCACACAGGAGAGAGAAGGGAUAACGGGAAAGACCAAGGCUGCCCAUGGCCAGGUCAGUAUUGAAAAGAAGUGGGGACAGAGGCAGGACAUCACAUGCCAACCCCUAUGGAGACAGGGGCAUGGAGAGAUAUUAUGAAAGUUACUCUAGAGAAGAGUAAACCUCAAGAUGGAGAAAAGGAAAAACGCAAAGAGCAGACAAGCAAAAAAUACAUAGGGGCUUCCUUAAAAGAGGCAAAGACUAGAAAAUAUUAUGAGGCCUCUACAACAGAGGAAAAGAGUAUAAAAGACACACAGGCCUCUACAAAUGCCAUUCAGCAGGAUACUCUGAACCAAAAGGAUCAGAUUAGCCCGGGUCCCUAGAAAGUCCCCAGCUCAGCCAGAAUCCUCUCCCAGGCUGAGGUGCUGCGUAAUCCCCCUUACUGAUACAGUAUGGACAACACUGUGUGGACACAUAAUACACAGACUUGAGCUGUACCACAACAUGCUGUAUAUUGUUGGUCUGUUUCUUUUUCCAAUGAGAGGGAUGGACGAGGAAUGGCAGGAAUGCCAUGUGUCAUGUCCAUCUGUGUCCGUGAAGAGGACUUUUUUAAGCUCUAUUGGUCUUUGACAUUAGGAAUGGCGUGUAAAGCCAACACUCAUCUCUUCCUGCCUCGUGUGCUGCUUCAGACAUCUCUGAUCUGGGCCAUACGCAUGUUUGGAAUGUUUAGGGCCUAUUCUUGGACAUCUUGUGGAAUGAAAACUAACCAUACUUCACCCAUUAUAAUGCAAUUAUUAUCCCAUAUGCAACCAAGCAGAAAGGUCUUUAACACACACAAAGUUAAGCUGUCAGUAAAGGUUUUAUUUUCAUGUUGGGUAUCUACAGAAAGCACCUUGGGAUUGGCCUUUUCACAUGGCACUCUUUUCCCAAGGGAUUUGCUCAACUGCAUGCAGUCCGUACGUUUAUUUUAUUGCACGCCUUUACCACUCCACUGAGUAUGAUCCUUUCACCUGAUGUGAAAAUACUGAUGCCGAAGUUCUGACCUUAACACCAUGUAGAGAUUUCAGACUUUAUUCAGAAAGCAUUAGCUUUACGAAGGAUUCUAGACUGUUCUAAGACAAUAGACAUGAUUCGUGAAUACAAAAUAUAUCAUUACAAAAGACCAGAAACUUGUGGUUUGAGAUAUUGUUUACCAUGUGUAUGAUAACCUAUGUGUAAUUUAUUGAAAUUAUAGAUUAAUAUAGAUAUACAGUACCAGUCAAAAGUUUGGACACACUUACUCAUUCAAGG